This is a small nuclear RNA of Solanum stenotomum, 106 nucleotides long. Lineage: Eukaryota; Viridiplantae; Streptophyta; Magnoliopsida; Solanales; Solanaceae. The record is from RefSeq and is a predicted model, not a curated record.
GUUCCUUUGUGGACAUCCAAUAUAAUUGGAAUGAUACAAAGAAUAUACGCAUGAUGCCUCAUGCGCAAAAAUGACAUCCUUGAAUCGAGAAAUGAGUUAUUUUUUU